Long non-coding RNA from Brassica oleracea var. oleracea, 1839 nucleotides. RefSeq lists it as uncharacterized. The record is from RefSeq and is a predicted model, not a curated record. Lineage: Eukaryota; Viridiplantae; Streptophyta; Magnoliopsida; Brassicales; Brassicaceae. The transcript is spliced from 7 exons.
UUCCUAUCCGCACGAAUCUCAUCGUCUCCUGCAAAUUUACAAAGGUUUUUUACUCAUUUAGUUGCAUUAAUUAAUUCAACGCUAUGACCUUCCGAUUCCUUUUCUCCAACUCAUUCCCUACUGAUGUAAAUAUAUAGUGAUGGCGGUGAAGUUCAAUCCCUAAUCGUAACUGUUGGGUACUAGUGCUAUCCGAAGUUGGUGGGCUCAACGAAAGCUUCACCCUUUCUGAAUAAAUGGCGACUCCUUUAGGCCGACUGCAGGAAAUUGGUUAAAAGGGGCUCAAGUCCUGGAGCACAGAAGGUAUCAACAAUGGCGUAUGAAUCAGAAACCGUGAAAUUGUUGAAUCUAUAAUAUAUAUAUGCUAUCAAUAAAAAAUCUUCACAUCGCCUCUUUUUCUUUUAUUUGCUUCAAGGAUUUGAAAUUGUGAAAGCAUGUUUUGUGACGCGGUGGACUCUCCUUUAGUUGAUGUCUAUUCCAUUUACUCAUAACUCUACAUCUAUUGUAUUCUUGGGAACACGAAGGUCAAAAUAUUGAUGAAUGUGGAAGUUUGAUAAAGGAAAAUUAGUAACAUCGUAUAGUUUGUGAUCUUCUUUUUGAUCUGACAAUAGUUGGUCGAAACUUUUUCAUGGAAGCUCUUAUGUCUUUGGGGGAAGAUAAUGGCUCUGGAGGAGUCUUUCGCUGCAUGUUUAGCGGAACGAACCGGGAAAAGUCGUGUCUUCAACAUUCUUUGGCAUUGUUGGAUUUGAUAUUUAUCUAGCAGCGAGGAAAUCAAGAAAAUGUAGAAAUUCAGUUUGUGGAUUACAUAUAUCAUGCACUUGAUCCGGAUGAUGAACGACACCAACCAAAUCAGAAGUAGAGCUGAUCAGGCAUGUCAUUUGUUCUGAAGCAAUUUAGCAUCACUUUUGGAUCGUCGAAUAAUCACCGCUUUGUUUUUGCGUACUAUCUCAAACCUGACAUAGAUUCUAUGAAAUUUUUUUUUGAAGUUAUUCUAUAUCUAUCAUAUUUGUUUCUAACUGUUUAAUAAGGUCUUGAAAGUCCAUUACCACAAAACAAAAAUUUAUAAUGGACCCCUGAUUUCAAGUUAUGGGCUCUCCAACAAGAAAAUCCGGCAUUGAGUAUACUCUCAAGAAGCUACUGCAGCUUACCACAAACGAAGAGGCCUUCGAUGCUCUCAAAACCAAGACUGUUGACUUGGUCUUAACUGCUCAUUCUACUCAAUUUGUUCCAAAUGUUUUGAAGAUCUGUAGAACUCUUCCAAGUCCCUGAUACUUUAAUUCUUGUGACUUUGUUUUGUUGAUGUGUUUUGUAAGACUGUUAUCAGGAUUCGUGAUGGUUUGGCACAGUUAUAUGCGAAAGACACUGCUCUUAUUGAUAAACAAGAACUCGAUGAAGAUCUGCAACAUAAAGAUUCAAGUUGCUUUCCGCACGGAUGAAAUCCAAAGAACUCCACCUGCACAACAAGAUGAAAUGAGAGCGGCUUUGAGCUACUACCAUGAGACAACCUGGAAAUGAGUUCUGAAGUUCUUGAAGCGUGUUCCUACAGCUCUGAAGAACAUUGGAAUUAAUUAGUGUUCCUUACGAUGCACCUCUUAUUCAAAUCUAUUCCUUGGAUGGGUGGAGACUGUGAUGGUACACUCUUAAUUCUUUCUUUUCUUGAACAUUUGCUAAAUCCAGAAUCUGGUGUGAUGUAUGCUUACUAGGUUCGAGGUGGGGAAUCCAUACACUCAUUAACCUUUACUUUUUGCAAUUUAAAUUUGAAGAGUCUCAUAACGGCUUUAUGUGUCAAUGACUGACUGCUAAAGUCUUUUAUAACUGAUACUGAAUCACAACUUCUUCAUA